Molecule: ribosomal RNA, 253 nt
Filed under: uncultured bacterium
Lineage: Bacteria
Description: partial 16S ribosomal RNA
Rfam family: Bacterial small subunit ribosomal RNA
Source: RNAcentral
UACGGGGGGGGCAAGCGUUGUUCGGAAUUACUGGGCGUAAAGGGCUCGUAGGCGGCCAACUAAGUCAGACGUGAAAGCCCUGGGCUUAACCUGGGAAUUGCAGUCGAUACUACUCAGCUAGAGUAUGGGAGAGGGUAGUGGAAUUCCAGGUGUAGCGGUGAAAUGCGUAGAUAUCUGGAGGAAUACCGGUGGCGAAGGCGGCAUCCUGGACCGAGAUUGACACUGAUGAGCGAAAGCUAGGGGAGCAAACGGG